Juglans regia (Persian walnut) is the source of this 2392-nucleotide long non-coding RNA. RefSeq lists it as uncharacterized. The record is from RefSeq and is a predicted model, not a curated record. Lineage: Eukaryota; Viridiplantae; Streptophyta; Magnoliopsida; Fagales; Juglandaceae. The transcript has 2 exons.
GCAAUCUCUCUUAGGUUAUGGUAUCGUUGCGACCUCUCUUAGGGGUUAUGUUUUCAUUUCGACUUCCUCUGUUAGUUCCUUUCACUCUCGCUUUCUCUGUGUUUGUGACUCUGUACCUCUUCUUUUUUAUCUUUUGAGAUUCUUGGCUGCUUCAAUCUGCACGAUGCACUACCCCGGGCUUCCCUGAAUGAGUAAUCAAUCGAUGACGACGAAAGCCCCAUUGCUCGUGCCAAAACAAUCCGACGUCAAGUGUUGCAGUUCAGCCAUUCUCUUUCUCCACGGCUGAGCUGUGUCAAAUCGACGCCCACAUCUCAAUCUCUCUCUCUUGAGAAUAAAUCUGUUAUUUCUUUCCUUAAUCUUUGCCUCGCUACACCUUUAGCUUGUUUUCUUGUUAUAGAUAGCGAUAUGAAAACAAGGCUAGUCUUUGAGGCAGAUAUUGAUUGCUCUUUGGCGGUUUUCACGUGGGGGUUUAUUUUUUCAAUGGUUUUGCCUCUAAAAAUAUCCGCUACAGGAGUGAGUUCUAAUGUACAAAUCGGCAGUGAUGAUGAAAUUUCAGCUUUAAAUGCCAGUUCUGCUUCUGAAGAUUCUUGAUUGAUAGAGCUGUUAUGUGAUCUGAGCCCAUCGGUACAUCAUAUAUGUCAAUUAAUGUUUUCUCAGCUUUUUGUGUUGAACCUGGUUUCAUCUCUUCGUUACAAGUGUUGGUUUUAUUCAAUGAUUUUGUUUGUGUACUUUAUUUCGUUCAUUGGAUUGGCGUAUUUAUUUAAUUCAAUGAUGACUGUCCACAUACAUGAGAUUAGUUAGCUUCAAGCCCCUGUUUACAGGGAGAACCUACUUGAGGCUGCUAUAUCAUUACUUGAAAGUAAUGGACCAUUCUGAGAAUACUCUUGCCAAACCAGGCAAAUUUCAAUCAUUUUCAAGUUCUCGUUCAAUUCUAUCUUAUAAUUUUGGUCUUGAUGCCUUAGGAUGCCAAUGAUGACCCAACUCUUUUGAGGUGUUGUGGAGCCAAUUCCUUGCCUUGCAAGGAGAACCUAGUUGGUGAAGCUACAUUUGAAAUGAUAAUUCAAGGGAUUUAACUGAGGCUCUACCUAAAUUGAAUUUUAAUUAUUUUAACGUAUGUUCGUCACUUUUUGGAAUUUUAAAAGAUUUAGGGAAUUUUAUUCUUUUGAAAUUCUGUUAAUUCUUCUAUAAGCGAGCUUGUUGUUGGCUCUAUUUCCUCUCUUUAGUCAUGUUGAUAUGCUUUAUGAUUUGGUGUUUGAUCGAUGGCCAAUGAUGUUACUUACAAUCCAACUUGUAUUUGGUACGCAAGAUCCAAGUCCCCCCAUCUUAUGGGGAGAACCUACUUGGUGAAUCUGCGUUUCCAAUGACUGAAAAUACAGAAACUGAGGUUCCUGAUUUCUAUCUUCUCUGUUGCCUUUGUCAGCUUUGAAUGUAGAACUGCUUUUGCGGUAACUAUGUGUACUACUUCAUAUAUCUCUGCCAAUUCUAUUUUCAUAUCGAGUUUUAACUAUACACUAGCCCCCUAAUGGGACUAGGGUCUGAAAAACUCGGAAAUUCUGUGUGGUCAUCAGCUUCUUCUCUUGUACAUUACGAGACUGGAGUUAAAUAACGGCACUAUAUUCCUGACUUGUAGUAAUAAUUCCUUGUUUAAUUCUGGGUUUUUGUUUGUUUUUUGUUUUUUGUCUGGUUAAAGUUUCCUUCCCGUUGAUUAAUUUUUUGAAUUAAUAUGGUUAUCUGGGUUGCUGAUUUAUUGUUAUCUUGAUUCUGAUUGUAAUGAGCCUUUUUUAAAUUUUGAUUAAAAUCACCAAAAAUUGGCUUGUUUCCUCUAUUUCCUUAAACCUUUUUCAACAUUGAGUAUCCAUCUACUUUAUAUAUAAUGAUAAAAGAUUAUUAGUUUAAUAUUUUUUAUCUAUUAUAUUUUUGUAUUUAGGCAUAUUAAUUAAUAAUUAUAUUCUAAUUAUAAACAAUAAUGGUCCUAAAAUAUUCGUUACCAGCCAAAUGUUUACAUUUUUCGUUCAACUAAUUUCUUUUGCUAGUCUUUCGUUUAGCUGUAUGACCCCCAAAUGAGUGAGAUCCAAAUGCAACAUCUUUUUUUUCUGCCUUGAUUGUGAUUAUUUUGUAGAGCUUUUUGACCUUAUAGAAGCAAGUUCCAACUCGGUAUUAAUCACAUCGACAGCACAGCAUCACCCCUGGCGACAGUACACAUCUUGACACAACUGGUCGUGUCCGCAGUUUACAAGACGUGGCAAGGAUGAAUUAGUUCAUGCAUUGAUACUACGCCAGGACUCUAUUUAUUAUGAUGUAUAAAAUCGCUAGUAGAUUCAAGCGACAAAUGUUAGGUCUAUUCAUCUUUUAAUAUAUAAAUUUUAUGGUUAAAUUCCGUUUCCACCACAAA